AAAAAAUGGGAAUUGCUAGACAACUGCCUGCUGAGAAUUUUUGUUCUAUCAGCUGAAUUUGAGGGCGUUGGAUUUGUUUCCAAGAUUCGUGCUAGGAGUUUUAGGCCCACACAUUCAUCCGGGCGCUGGACCCGUCGCUCUCACUGGCUCGUUGCAUGUCUUCACCGUGGACCCCAUGCGAAACUCAGACUCGAUUUUUUUUCCUCAUUCACUCACGCAAGAAGAGCAGAGAGAGAGUGGGGAUUGGAUAACGCGGGGGUACUCACCGGCGGCGAUGCCGCAUCGUGGGUGUGAUGCUAUCGUCGUCUCCUCCGGCGGGUGGAGCUCUAGAGCUUGGUGUCGGCUCCAACGGACGCGCGCGCCGCCUGCGGUUGCGCUUAUCUGCGAGGCAGGGAUGGCGGUAGGGGAGGCAAUCUCGACAGCUCCGAUGGUCGUCAGCGUGUUUCUACAAAGCUUUUUGUCGGGAAUGGCGAUGGAGCCUCAACGCUUCCUGUGUCACUAGGAGAGCCGAAUAGGACCAAUCUGUUGGAUCUCGGCAUGGAAUCCUGCAAUGGCUCACCCAGCGAGCAACUCGAAGGCCACACAGCUCCACACGCCGUCUGUGUCCUCAUUGUAGUCGCCUCCAUCCUCCUCAAGGGCCUCCUCCACCACCUCGGCCAGUAGGAGUUCAGAGAAAGAGGAGCAUAGGGGCCAUGGCCGACAAUGCAACCAAAAGGCAAG
Long non-coding RNA from Oryza sativa Japonica Group (Japanese rice), 720 nucleotides. RefSeq lists it as uncharacterized. Lineage: Eukaryota; Viridiplantae; Streptophyta; Magnoliopsida; Poales; Poaceae. The record is from RefSeq and is a predicted model, not a curated record.